CGCCGGCCAUCCUCAUCUCUUCUCCUGUGCACCUCUUGUAGGUUUGGAUAGACAUUUUUCUGAGGCAACUCAGUCGGGGGGAAUGCUGUGCGCAAGCCGGCUUUCCUUGCGUUUUUCCAAGCCUAUGUUUUUCAUAUACCCAGUAGUAUGUAACAGAAUGUAUUGUUGGGCGCUUGCGCCUAUAAAGUUUAUACAACUUUCAGCAACGGAUCUCUUGGCUCUCGCAUCGAUGAAGAACGCAGCGAAAUGCGAUAAGUAAUGUGAAUUGCAGAAUUCAGUGAAUCAUCGAAUCUUUGAACGCACCUUGCGCUCCUUGGUAUUCCGAGGAGCAUGCCUGUUUGAGUGUCAUUAAUUUCUCAACCUUUCAUUAGCUUUUGCUGAUGAAAUGGCUUGGAUGUGGGGGUUUGCUGGCUUCGGUCGGCUCCCCUUAAAUGCAUUAGCUGGUGUACCCCAUGGUGGACUUUUGGUGUGAUAAUUAUUUACGCCAUUUAUUGUGCGUAUCAGUAAUCGGACGAGCAUAUCAAUAAGCUGAUGAGCAUAUCAAUAAGCGGACGAGCAUAUC
Molecule: ribosomal RNA, 562 nt
Filed under: uncultured Naucoria
Lineage: Eukaryota; Fungi; Basidiomycota; Agaricomycetes; Agaricales; Cortinariaceae
Description: eukaryotic LSU rRNA
Rfam family: 5.8S ribosomal RNA (bases 195-348)
Source: RNAcentral